Aegilops tauschii subsp. strangulata is the source of this 3343-nucleotide RNA transcript. It is a transcript of the gene named ATP-dependent DNA helicase At3g02060, chloroplastic, with no coding region annotated. NCBI's taxonomy places the organism in Eukaryota, Viridiplantae, Streptophyta, Magnoliopsida, Poales, Poaceae. The record is from RefSeq and is a predicted model, not a curated record.
UAGUAGAUGCUCUAAACGCUUAAAACCAUGCCGCUCCCGUGCUGUUCCUAACCCACGCCUCCACGCCACAUCCAUGGCCACCCUCAUCCCUCGUGCUCCACCACCAAAUCCCCACCGUCACUUCCUUCUCCACCGACCACCGACCCUAUCCCCCCAGCUCCGCCUGCGCCUCCCUGUUCGCCGCCUCCGCCUCGCUUCCCCGGUCGCGGCCAUUGCCACGGUGACGGCCGCCGUGCCCCCCGACGACAUCUCGCAGCUCAAUAACCGUCUCCGCGCGCUCGUCCGCCGCCGCGGUGUCUCUUCCGCUGCCACAUCUCCCAUGGACCCCGCCCAGGCGGACGCCUACCUCCACAUGAUCCGCGAGCAGCAGCGCCUCGGCCUCCGCCAGCUCCGCCGGCACUCGGCCGAACCGGAAUACGAGAGAGACGUCGGAAGCAACGGGGAGGACGAGGAGGAGGGCGCCGGAAGGAGGAAGGGGAUGGCGGCCAGGAGCUCUUUGGGGCACCGUGUGGACCCGCGUGAGCUGGAGCCCGGCGAGUACGUCGUUCACAAGAAAGUCGGCGUCGGCAAGUUCGUCUGUAUAAGCGGAGAGGACGGAGAGGACUACGUGUUCAUUCAGUAUGCGGACGCCAUGGCGAAGCUUGCAGUCGACCAGGCAGCACGCAUGCUCUACCGAUACAACCUUCCUCAUGAGAAAAAGAGGCCAAGGAAUCUAAGCAAGCUGAAUGAUCCUUCUACAUGGGAGAAGAGGAGGCUGAAAGGAAAGCUUGCUGUUCAGAAGAUGGUGGUCAACUUGAUGGAGUUAUAUUUACAAAGGAUGAGGCAGAGAAGGCCGCCGUACCGAAAGCCUGAGGCGAUGGAUCAGUUUGCUUCUGAAUUUCCUUACGAGCCUACCCCAGACCAAAACCAGGCUUUCAUAGAUAUUGAGAAUGAUCUGACUGAAAGGGAAACACCAAUGGACAGAUUGAUCUGUGGAGAUGUCGGGUUUGGUAAAACGGAAGUUGCAAUGCGUGCUAUAUUCAUCGUUGUAUCUACAGGAUAUCAAGCUAUGGUUCUCGCACCAACUGUAAUACUAGCCAAUCAACACUAUGAUGUAAUGUCUGAGCGUUUCUCCAACUACCCUGACAUAAAGGUCGCCAUAUUCAGCGGUGCUCAGAGCAAGGAUGAAAAGGAUGAGCUAAUAACAAAAAUUACGAAUGGGCAUUUGCAAAUAAUUGUUGGAACUCAUGCUCUUCUUACAGAACGGAUGGCCUAUAACAAUCUCGGUCUCCUAGUGGUGGAUGAGGAACAGAAGUUCGGUGUACAACAAAAGGAGAAGAUUGCAUCAUUCAAAGCUUCUAUUGAUGUUCUUACCCUGUCCGCAACACCCAUUCCACGAACUCUGUAUCUUGCUUUAACCGGUUUCCGUGAUGCAAGUUUAAUGUCUACACCACCUCCGGAAAGAGUCGCUGUCAAGACCUAUGUGUCAGCAUUUAGUAGAGAAAGUGCUCUAUCAGCUAUCAAAUUGGAGUUGAAGCGUGGCGGUCAAGUUUUCUAUGUUGUUCCUCGAAUAAAAGCCAUAGACGAUGUAUUGCAAUUUCUCAAGGACUCUCUUCCAGAUGUACCGAUGGCUAUUGCUCAUGGAAAGAAAGUGUCAAAGAAUAUACAACUUGCUAUGGAAAAGUUUUCUUGUGGGGAAAUAAAGAUUCUUGUAUGCACACAUAUCAUUGAAAGUGGAAUAGAUAUUCCAAAUGCCAACACAAUGAUAGUCCAGUAUGCAGAACUAUUUGGGCUCGCACAGCUGUAUCAGUUGCGAGGAAGAGUAGGAAGAUCAGGUAGAGAGGGUUUCACAUACCUCUUCUACACUGACAAGUCUUUGCUUUCCAGAAUUGCCAUGGAUAGACUUGGAGCUAUUGAAGAGCAUUCUGAUCUCGGUCAAGGUUUCCAUGUCGCAGAGAAGGAUAUGGGUAUUAGGGGAUUUGGAAGCAUGUUUGGUGAGCAACAAUCUGGAGACGUUGCAAAUGUUGGCAUCGAUCUGUUCUUUGAUAUGCUUUUUGACAGCUUGUCCAAGGUUGAUCACUUUCGUCUUAAACCCAUUCCUUACAAAGAUGUUCAGCUGGACAUUAACAUUUCUCCGCAUCUCUCUUCUGAAUACAUAAGUUAUCUUGAAAAUCCUGUUGAAUUGCUCAAUGAAGCAGCGAAAGCUGCAGAACAAGAUAUAUGGAACUUAAUGCAAUUCACAGAAGAUCUUCGUCGACAGUAUGGGAAGGAGCCCCGUGAUAUGGAGUUGCUAUUAAAAAAGCUCUAUGUAAGGCGGAUGGCAGCAGAUCUUGGUAUCAGCCGGAUAUAUCCAUCUGGCAAAAUGAUCAUCAUGAAAACAAACAUGAACAGGAAAGUUUUUAGGCUCAUGGAAGAAACCAUGGCUUCUGAGACGCAUCGCAAUUCUUUGUCAUUCACUGGAAAGGAAAUUAAGGACAACGCUGGACAUGGCUUGCAUGCUCAUUGGUUUUGCUCCCAUCCGUGCUCCACACCUACUUAAUGAGCAUUGGACGGCUGAACUUCUGGUCAAUCUGCCAGACACACUACUUCUGAACUGGCUUUUUCAUUGCUUAGCGGAUUGCUAUGCAAUAAUGCCAGCCCUUGUGAGAUACUAGAUUCUUUGAUUGAAAUGAAGGUUAUGACAAGCACUAUAACCUGGAAUGAACUAUUCAUGUUCGAGAAAAUGAAAAGGCAAGACACAGAUAUUCAAUUAAUCGGUCAAUUUUCAGUUAAUUGGCCAUGGGACGGUCUCUUCUUUUGUUGGUGUUGUCACUUCAGGCAAUUAAUCAGCCAUUGGUGUGUUGGUAUUGUCACUUCAGGCAAAUGUGUACCAAUAAUAUGCAACAUUGUUAAGAAAAUCUGUGAAAGUGUAGUGUGACAGAUUAUACCUAUACGUUAACUGGAUGCCCAAAUGGAAAGGCGUGAACUGCAUUUCUGCAUCCACUGACAGUUUUGUUUAGCUAGCAGUGGCUGGUGUGAUGCACAAUUGAUAUCCUGAAAUGCUGUUCGUCAAUGGCGUUAAAGAAUUCUGGUUCAGAUUCUUAUUGCAGGGAAGAUCUCCAAGAUUCUUCUGAGGCUUUCUGAUGGAGAAAAUCCAGCAUUGUGACUAACAGGUGCAUAGGGUUCAUGACUGGUAACGUAUAGUUUUGUAAUCGGAGUGCGCUGUAUUAGGUGGGGAGAUUGAGUGAUUGAUUAGUAAUCAGAAUGCGCUGUAUUAGGCGGGGAGAUUGAGUGAUUGAUUACUUUCCCUUUGAUUCAGCGAAGGGUUGGUUUCUCUUUUUUUUAGGGGAACUAAAACUUUAUUGAUUAACUCAUUCCAGAGGUA